Molecule: long non-coding RNA, 291 nt
Filed under: Nicotiana benthamiana
Lineage: Eukaryota; Viridiplantae; Streptophyta; Magnoliopsida; Solanales; Solanaceae
Description: long non-coding RNA (NBEN_LNC008400)
Source: RNAcentral
UCCGAUUCUGGCGGUUCCGGUUCCACGGUUCUAAUGGGUGGAACCGGCCCGGAACCGCGGAACCGGAACCACGGAACCGGAACCGUAUAACCGGAACCAUUUAGAAUCGCGGAACCGCCAGAACCGCGGUUCCGGUCACGGUUCCGGUUCGGAACCGUUAUUCGUACAGCCUUACUUGCUAAUUGGGGCGAGUUGCAACUAUAAAUACCCAGAGAAUACAAUUUUCUCCUCAGUACAAUUUCCCAAGAAUUUCAAAAAUUACAACCCCUGUUUGUUGUCUAUAUUUCUUUU